GGCUCUGCGCGGGGGCAGUACUGUAGCCGACGAGGUUUAUCCGAGGCGCAAUUAUUGCUAAUUGAAAACGCUUCUCAUUUUGUAAUUUCUGAAUUAUGUAAAUAUUUUACGAAAAGCAUAUAUCUUUCUUAUAAUUUUUUAAAAGC
This is a small nuclear RNA of Neofelis nebulosa (Clouded leopard), 146 nucleotides long. RefSeq annotates it as U4 spliceosomal RNA. The transcript has a single exon. The record is from RefSeq and is a predicted model, not a curated record. Lineage: Eukaryota; Metazoa; Chordata; Mammalia; Carnivora; Felidae.